AAUGAAUGUUGGCAGCAUGGAUUAGGCAUGCAAGUCGAGCGAGAACCCGCAAGGGGGAAAGCGGCGAACGGGGUAGGAAUACAUAGAUAACGUACCCUCUGGACGGGGAUAGCUACGGGAAACUGUAGGUAAUACCCGAUGAUCCCGACGAGUGAAAGUCUUGUCGUGCAAAGGUGUGAUUCCGCCGGGGGAGCGGUCUGUGCGGUAUUAGCUUGUUGGUGAGGUAAUGGCUUACCAAGGCUGUGAUGCCUAGGGGGUGUGAGAGCAUGGCCCCCCACCACUGGGACUGAGACACUGCCCAGACACCUACGGGUGGCUGCAGUCGAGAAUCUUCGGCAAUGGGCGCAAGCCUGACCGAGCGAUGCUGCGUGCGGGAUGAAGGUCUUCGGAUUGUAAACCGCUGUCGGGGGGGAGUGAAAUGUACGAGGGCUAUCCCUUGUAUUUGACAGAGCCCCGGAGGAAGCGCGGGCUAAGGUUCGUGCCAGCAGCCGCGGUAAU
RNAcentral lists this ribosomal RNA (498 nucleotides) under uncultured bacterium. RNAcentral's name for it is "bacterial SSU rRNA". It matches the Rfam family "Bacterial small subunit ribosomal RNA", at positions 28 to 524 of the family's 1533-position model. The record is from RNAcentral.